UUUCCGUAGGUGAACCUGCGGAAGGAUCAUUACAGAGUUCAUGCCCUCACGGGUAGAUCUCCCACCCUUGAAUAUUUAUACCUUAGUUGCUUUGGCAGGCCGUGGAAACACCAUGGGCUCCGGCUUAUACGUGCCUGCCAGAGGAAACAAACUCUGUUUUUAGUGAUGUCUGAGUACUAUAUAAUAGUUAAAACUUUCAACAACGGAUCUCUUGGUUCUG
RNAcentral lists this unclassified non-coding RNA (220 nucleotides) under plant metagenome. RNAcentral's name for it is "partial contains small subunit ribosomal RNA, internal transcribed spacer 1, and 5.8S ribosomal RNA". The record is from RNAcentral.